UACGUAGGUGGCAAGCGUUGUCCGGAUUUAUUGGGUUUAAAGGGUGCGUAGGCGGCCCUGUAAGUCAGUGCUGAAAUAUCCCGGCUUAACCGGGAGGGUGGCAUUGAUACUGCAGGGCUUGAGUACAGAUGAGGUAGGCGGAAUUGACGGUGUAGCGGUGAAAUGCAUAGAUAUCGUCAAGAACACCGAUAGCGAAGGCAGCUUACUGGGCUGUAACUGACGCUGAUGCACGAAAGUGUGGGGAUCAAACAGG
RNAcentral lists this ribosomal RNA (253 nucleotides) under uncultured bacterium. RNAcentral describes it as "partial 16S ribosomal RNA". It matches the Rfam family "Bacterial small subunit ribosomal RNA", at positions 524 to 776 of the family's 1533-position model. The record is from RNAcentral.